RNAcentral lists this ribosomal RNA (158 nucleotides) under Inocybe sp. DED8134. Its description in RNAcentral is "5.8S ribosomal RNA". It matches the Rfam family "5.8S ribosomal RNA". From Rfam's summary of the family: 5.8S ribosomal RNA (5.8S rRNA) is a component of the large subunit of the eukaryotic ribosome. It is transcribed by RNA polymerase I as part of the 45S precursor that also contains 18S and 28S rRNA. The record is from RNAcentral. Lineage: Eukaryota; Fungi; Basidiomycota; Agaricomycetes; Agaricales; Inocybaceae.
CAACUUUCAGCAACGGAUCUCUUGGCUCUCGCAUCGAUGAAGAACGCAGCGAAAUGCGAUAAGUAAUGUGAAUUGCAGAAUUCAGUGAAUCAUCAAAUCUUUGAACGCAUCUUGCGCUCCUUGGUAUUCUGAGGAGCAUGCCUGUUUGAGUGUCAUUU